This 253-nucleotide ribosomal RNA is filed under the name uncultured bacterium. Its description in RNAcentral is "partial 16S ribosomal RNA". It matches the Rfam family "Bacterial small subunit ribosomal RNA", at positions 524 to 776 of the family's 1533-position model. The record is from RNAcentral.
UACGUAGGAUGCAAGCGUUGUUCGGAAUUACUGGGCGUAAAGAGUACGUAGGCGGUUUGAUAAGUCUGCUAUUAAAGACCGGGGCUCAACUCCGGGAGUGUAGUGGAAACUGUCAGACUAGAGGACAAUAGAGGAAGUCGGAAUUCUCAGUGUAGCGGUGAAAUGCGUAGAUAUUGGGAAGAACACCAGUGGCGAAAGCGGACUUCUGGGUUGUUACUGACGCUGAGGUACGAAAGCGUGGGGAGCAAACGGG